GGUGGCUCAGUGGUAGAGUGCUUGCCUUACAUGCAUGAAGCCUGGGUUCAAUUCCUCAGCACCA
RNAcentral lists this transfer RNA (64 nucleotides) under Dipodomys ordii (Ord's kangaroo rat). It matches the Rfam family "tRNA". Rfam says of the family: Transfer RNA (tRNA) molecules are approximately 80 nucleotides in length. Their secondary structure includes four short double-helical elements and three loops (D, anti-codon, and T loops). Lineage: Eukaryota; Metazoa; Chordata; Mammalia; Rodentia; Heteromyidae. The record is from Rfam by way of RNAcentral.